CACUCGUGCACAGGUGGUACUAGUUGUCUUCAGCUCGUGUUGGAGAGUUGGGUUAAGUCCCGCAACGAGCGCAACCCUUGUCCCAUGUUGCCAGCGGGUUAUGCCGGGGAUUCAUGGGAGACUGCCGGGGUCAACAAGGAGGAAGGUGGGGAUGACGACAAAUCAUCAUGCCCCUUAUGUUUUGGGAUUCAUGCAUGAUAACAAUGGCCGGUACAAAGGGGUGCGAUUCCGUAAGGUGGAGCGAAUCCCAAAAAGCCGGUUUUCAGUUUAGGAUUGGGGGUCUGCAACUUAGACCCCAUGAAGUCGGAGUCGCUAGUAAUCGCAGAUCAGCAACGCUGCGGGGAAUACGUUUNCGGGCCUAGUACACACCGCCCGUCAAGUCUCGAAACUCGGUAACUCUUGACGCCCACCCCCCAACCUUGAAUAGGAUGGCACCA
This 437-nucleotide ribosomal RNA is filed under the name Cellulosimicrobium cellulans. Its description in RNAcentral is "bacterial SSU rRNA". It matches the Rfam family "Bacterial small subunit ribosomal RNA", at positions 1025 to 1461 of the family's 1533-position model. The record is from RNAcentral. Lineage: Bacteria; Bacillati; Actinomycetota; Actinomycetes; Micrococcales; Promicromonosporaceae.